Molecule: long non-coding RNA, 498 nt
Filed under: Homo sapiens (human)
Lineage: Eukaryota; Metazoa; Chordata; Mammalia; Primates; Hominidae
Description: non-protein coding lnc-FTCDNL1-4:56
Source: RNAcentral
CAGCCCUGUAGGAGACACCUCCAGAGAAAGUAACAGCUCUCAAUUGAUUAGCUGAGAAUAAACAGAUGCUUUUACAGCUCGCCUUGGCGGGAAGAUCUGGCACAAAUGAAGUAUCUAUAAGGAGCAGCAGAGUCAAGGAAGACACCAGACAAAUGAGUUACACUGUUUUGGACUCCCCAACACAACCCAGCCACCGGCUGAAUGCCACCAAAUUACCUUCUAGUUAAAGGUUUAUGGAGCAAACGAAUCACCUAUUCAAUAUCUGCUUGAAUUUCUGACUCAAAAUACAUCAGGUAUGUACUGUGUGACUUAAAUAUUGAGUUUAUUUUUAUCAAAUACCUGUCAAGAAAGAAAGUCAAUUCUGAAACAGCAGAAGCUCAAAGUUCUACAGAUGGCUUUCAAAGGAAUUUGAAUUAGACAUCAUUUGAUGUUGCAAAAAACAAUGACAUCUUUUAUAGCUCUAAACAUCAGUUUUUAAAUUAGAGAUUGAUCUAUAAA